GACAGAGGCCCCAAGCGUUAGGCGGAAUCACUGGGCUUAAAGCGUGUGUAGGCGGAUCGUUAAGUGUCUUGUGAAAUCCCACGGCUCACCCGUGGAACUGCUGGGCAUACUGGCGAUCUUGGGCCAACUAGGGGCAGUCGGAACAAGCGGUGGAGCGGUGAAAUGCGUAGAUAUCGCUUGGAACGCCGAAGGUGAAAACAGACUGCUGGGGUUGCGCCGACGCUGAGACACGAAAGCCAGGGGAGCAAACAGG
This 253-nucleotide ribosomal RNA is filed under the name uncultured bacterium. Its description in RNAcentral is "partial 16S ribosomal RNA". It matches the Rfam family "Bacterial small subunit ribosomal RNA", at positions 524 to 776 of the family's 1533-position model. The record is from RNAcentral.